Non-coding RNA from Rattus norvegicus (Norway rat), 69 nucleotides. The record is from Rfam. Lineage: Eukaryota; Metazoa; Chordata; Mammalia; Rodentia; Muridae.
GGGGAUUUGGCUCAGUGGUAGAGCGCUUGACUAGGAAGCACAAGGUCCUGGGUUCGGUCCCCAGCCCCG